This 330-nucleotide small RNA is filed under the name Histoplasma capsulatum. RNAcentral's name for it is "hypothetical RNA". The record is from RNAcentral. Lineage: Eukaryota; Fungi; Ascomycota; Eurotiomycetes; Onygenales; Ajellomycetaceae. RNAcentral also lists the same sequence under 1 other name.
UUCUGCUAAGGGCCGCUCGAGGCGAAAAGGUUGAACGCCCACCAAUAUGGGUUAUGCGGCAAGCCGGCCGCUACCUCCCUGAAUACCACCAAGUCAAGGGCCAACAUGACUUCUUCGAAUGUUGUCGCUCCCCCGAAAUCGCCUCGACCCUCACCUUACAACCCAUCGAGCGCUACGCAGGGCUCAUUGACGCUGCCAUAAUCUUCUCCGACAUCCUCGUCAUCCCACAGGCCAUGGGCAUGACUGUCGAGAUGAUCGACAAGAAAGGCCCCAGCUUCCCCUCACCCCUAAAAUCUCCUGACGAUCCCCAGUACCGCCAAAUACUAGACA